Ribosomal RNA from Carassius auratus (goldfish), 119 nucleotides. The record is from Ensembl. NCBI's taxonomy places the organism in Eukaryota, Metazoa, Chordata, Actinopteri, Cypriniformes, Cyprinidae.
GCUUACGGCCAUACCAACCUGGCUAUGCCUGAUCUCGUCUGAUCUCUGAAGCUAAGCAGGUUUGGGCCUGGUUAGUACUUGGAUGGGAGACCGCCUGGGAAUACCAGGUGCUGUAAGCU